CAGUAGCCGCGGGAAUACGUAGGUGGCAAGCGUUGUCCGGAAUUAUUGAGCGUGAAGGGCUCGCAGGCGGUUUCUUAAGUCUGAUGUGAAAGCCCCCGGCUCAACCGGGGAGGGUCAUUGGAAACUGGGAAACUUGAGUGCAGAAGAGGAGAGUGGAAUUCCACGUGUAGCGGUGAAAUGCGUAGAGAUGUGGAGGAACACCAGUGGUGAAGGCGACUCUCUGGUCUGUAACUGACGCUGAGGAGCGAAAGCGUGGGGAGCGAACAGGAUUAGAUACCCCUGUAGUCCCUGUCUCUUAUAC
This 301-nucleotide ribosomal RNA is filed under the name uncultured bacterium. RNAcentral describes it as "partial 16S ribosomal RNA". It matches the Rfam family "Bacterial small subunit ribosomal RNA", at positions 509 to 807 of the family's 1533-position model. The record is from RNAcentral.